GGAUUUUUGUUCUGGGAGUGAAAAAAAAAAUUUUUUUUUAAAUCUCCCUGGGAAACCUGUUUGAUAUGUUCAGCAAAUUUUACGUGAUCCUACAGGGCGAACUGUUCAGGGAUAAGAUAACACUAGCGAGAGCCGAGUACCUCCCAUGUCUAAUUUAGCUUUAAAAAAUGGUAAAACAAGUCUGACCGAGCCGAAGAAGCACGCCAGAAAUAUGUGGACACACGUUUGCUGUAGGGAUUGGUUUUCGGAUUUGAGAAUUUUAACAGGUUUGAGCAGGAUUUAAUUUCUGCACAAACUUAGAAAAGGUCGAUUGUAAAGCCUCUGUUGUGUUUAAAGGGUCUUUACAAGUCUUCGCAGCUUUUGAAGUUUCUGGGCCCUUCUGUUUUUUGUUUUGGAUAGUUUUAUGUUAGGGUUGGGGAUUGAGGGAUAAGGAAGAGAUGGAGAGGCCAGGAUAUUACUCAAAGUCCUUCGCGGUCUUCUGCCCGCGAAUGCCUUUACCCCCAACAUUUGCGUCAUCACUAACUGCUUUGUGAAUGUGUAGGAAAAAAAAUUAACCCAUUAAAAAAAAGAUUUAGAGUCCUCUCUCUCAGAAACCGUGGCAGGAUUACAUAGACGUUGUUACUUGCUUUCAAAUUUCUUGAAGAUAAUUGUUUUUCACAGUGAAACAGUAUGUACCUACUGUGCUGGAAAAGCAUCACAGAAGAUUGUAUGAUUGGGGGGCGGAAGGGAGGGCGCUAGUUCCUUUUUUUGGCUGAAGUGUGAGUAUCUCAUCAGUUUCUGUGUGUACCGGUUGUGUAACAAACUACAGUAUACAGUAUAUUUGCUCCAGAUGUGAAAGUCUUCCAGCAGUGUGAGACUGGGUGUCUUUUAAGACUGACUAGGAAGCAAAGUUUUACCAGGAACUCUUAUUUGCUUUUUCCUUUACUAUCAAGUUAUUCCUGGGAGGCCCCCUGGUGCCUGCAGUCAGUGUUCGCUGUUUAAGACUGUGGAUUUUAACAGAUGUGAACAUUUUGCUGGGUGUGAGACAUUUGCUUUGGGGGGAAAUUUUUUUUUUUUUAAUUAUUUGUUGAUUGUUCUGAGAGGGAAAUGUAGCUGUUUAAAAAUUUUAAUAUCUUGUUAACUUUGGGAGAAGUUUAUGCUCACCAUGAACUUGGCUUGUAAAUUUAAAUAUUUAAAAAUCUGAUGCUUGUAUCCAACUUCUUCAGUUUUAUUUUUCAUAUACUUCUUUAUAUACUUUAUAGGCAUAAGACAAGAUAGACUUAUGUAUUUUUGAAUGUUUGAUGUGGGUCGUCUUAAGUCAUGGUUUUAUGAUUAUACAUAAGAAACUUCACUCAUGGAUUGUUCGAGGUUACUAGGAAAAAGAUAUGGUGGGGAAAAUAGGCUAAGUGUUUGUUUCUGUGAAUUUGAAUUAUAUCAAUGUUCGGUUCUGGUUUUUGAUGAUCGUUUUCCAGACAUUUUCCCCUUUUAAAUUAGCAAGCAUUUAUUGACCUGCUUUGUGCCAGUCACCAGGAAUGCAAAGACAAGACACUGUCUCUUCAUUCAGGAAAUUCCCAGUUUAAACAAGUGAUUUUCAAGCUUUUGCAGCCUGCUCUCUGUCAGUAAAGGGUACCAUUACUUGCUUCUUAAUCCUGGAAAGUAUAUUUAGUUUUGACAGUGGCUCCCUGGGAUUCUUAAAUUCUCCUUUCUCCUUUGCAAAAUCUAGACCUGUCCAAAGACAUCCAAAACAGACUUGGAUUUUCUAGAAAGAAAUUCUUAUAUGAAACAGUGAAGAAUUAAAACUGAAGUCCUCCCCAUAAUCCCAUGAUCCAGAGAUAACUUGUUGAAAUUUCGAUGCAUUUUUCUUUCAGAUACUUUACAUCUUUAGAAUAUUGUUUAUAUAGCUUUAUGAGUUAAUUUUUAAAAUUUUUUCUUGCAGUUUUUUUUUUUUUACUUUCCUACAAAGCUAAACUUAAUAUUAUUACAAGAUAAAUUGUAGAAUAUUAGUAUCAUAUUAGUAGACUAUUAGCAAAAACUUAACAUGACAGAAUAUGAUUGUGUUUAUAUUUUUGGCCCACUGUUUAUGAAAAUCUUGGGAUGUGUGUAUUCUUGUUUUGUUUUUAAAUCCGUUUUUCACUUAAUCACAACUUACCAGAUGUCUAAAUUUGUGGAACUGCUGUGAUCAUUUUUAGUUAAGCUGGAAGACUAAGCAAAUAGGAAGUUUACCUCUUUUGUGUCCUUUUGAAAGUUAAGCAAAGGACUGGAUUUGAAAAAUGAAGAUUAAUGAAACCAUAUUAAAGCCCCCCCACCCCCCCCUUUUUAAGCUUUAUUGUUGUUUUUUUGGCUGCACCAUGCAGCUUGUGGAAUAUUAGUUCCCCAGCCAGGAAUUGAAUCCUAGUACCCUGCAUUGAAAGCACUGUGCCUCCAGUCACUGGAUCGCCAGGGAAUUCCCAAGUCUCUCCUUUCUCCGUUUUAGAUAAUAUUUUUAUUGAGAUACAACUCACAUACCAUGCAAUUUCACCUUUUGAAUUGUAUAAUUCAGUGGUUGUAUAUUCACAGAGUUGUGCAACCCAUCAGUCACCACCAUCACCGUUAGAAAGUUCUUCCCACCAUUCCCAAACACACACCUGUUCCCGUUAGCUGACAAGUCCCUUUUCCCUUCACUCCUCUCCAACACUAGGUUACCCCUAAUCUACUUUCUGUGGGUUUUGCCUGUUGUAGACAUUUCAUGUGAAUGAAAUAAUGCAUUAUGUGGUCUCUUGUGAUUGGCUUCUUUUUAAUGUUUUGCAGGUGCAUGUAUAUUUAAGCAUGUGUCAGUAUUUCGUUCCUUUUAUGGCUAAACAAUAUUUCAUUGUAUGACUGUACCACAUUUUAAUUUGUCCGUUUGUCACUUGAUGGACAUUUGAGUUGUUUCCUGCUUUGGGCUGUUGUGAAAAAUAUUGUUAUGGAUGUUUAUGUACAAGUGUUUGUGUGGGCAUAUGUUUUCAUUUCCCUUGGGUAAUAUAACUGGAAGUGGAAUUCCUUUGUCAGUGGGUAACUCUGUUUAACCUUUUGAGGAACUGCCAAACUGUUUAAAGCUUCUUUUCUGAUUCAGUUGUUUAAUUAUGACCCAGCAGUCUAAAGGUUAGGCAGUUUGAAGGAAGUGCUAGUUGAUCUUGGCAACCUCAGCUUCUACAGGGCAAGUGUUUGUGUCCAAACCCAAGGCCAGGUCUCUUGAAAAAAGCAGGUUGAGGAAUAGGGGAGAUAGGCUGAAGGUUGCUUUCUCUCCUCUUGCUUCUUUUUAGAUGAAAAGCUGGAGAAGGCCUAAAGAUGGCUCAUUGUUCAGAGAUUGAGCGAUUAAGUGGUUUUCCUGUUAGUUCCAGAUGAGGGAAAUUUUGACGGUUUGAAGUAGUAGUCCAGGGUGUUAUUAUUUUAUUUGAAAACAGGGCUUUUCUGAUAAAUGUCCAAAUCCAAGAUUAGGAUUUAUUGGGAUUUAGAAAUCUGUUUACAUUUGAGUCUAGAGACAGGAUUAUAUUAAGAUUUAGGAUUAGUGAGGAAGAUAGUAAAUUUUAUCAAGUAUUUUUUUUCCUCUGUUGUCUUAUUAUCCACAUUUAUUGUUUUAAUAGAAUAUCCGUUCCAAUAUCCUAUGUUCUCAAGCAACUCUAACAGGUAAAAUAAUGCAGCUGUUAAGAAUGUCAAAAUAUUUAGAAAUAAUGAAAAUCUCAGUUUCUGAAACAAAGGUUAUCUUAGAAGUCUUGGGCUCUAGGGAUGCAAGAAGAAAUGGUUUGCAAAUGUCAGUAGGCUUAGCAUGGUGUGGUGGUGGAGGAUAUGGAUUCACAGUUGAGUCUUCUAGGAUUAAAUUUUGAGUCAGUACAAAUUUAUACCCUUGGGCAGCAGUCACUGCUCUGGUGGCUAGAAGUAGUCAUUUCAAGGCUUACUGUUUCUGGGAAAAUAGAGGAUCAGUGAAGACAGGAAGCAGAACGAGAUGGAGGUUACAACUCUCCUUUCUUUUUGUAAACUCUCACCUUCCCCCAAGAUUGAAUAUGGUUACCUUUGAAGUCUUAGUUAUUAGUAGGUGAAAUGCAAUUUUUUUUUUUUUUUUUUUUACACCUCAUCCUCUAUACACUGCACCUCAGAUUUUCCUCUGUGAAAUAAAAUGAAAAUGUUUUAAUAGAAAUUAAGUCCUUAUUCCACAAUUAGAGGUAGGGGGCUAAAAAUGGCAGAAAUUCAUUCUGAAGUUAAGCAUGUGUAAAUAGCCAGUAGGCGUUAGCUUGAUAGAGGAAUUCAGUACCUGGUCUAGGUGGGUACUUGCCAUACAUAGGGAACGUAGAUAUAGGACAGGGACAAUUGUCCUUUAAUCUGCCUGUCCACCUGUAUGUAGCAAAGUGAUUUAUGAGGACAUACAUAACCUUCCUAAUAAUCACUGACCUCAGGGCCCUCCCUUCCCAAAUUUACCUGCUUCUGUGUAAAGACUAGGUUUAUUUUAUCAUAAAAGAGUUUAAGCCUUGGACUGUUCUCAGACCAUGCCUGAGUUCCCAUCUAGUCAGUUACCAAACUAUUGGUAGAAACAUUUUCUUGAUUUGAGUGCUUGCCUAACACCAUUUUAACUUUUCCCUUAAAUAUUUUCCCUUAAUAUUUUCAACAUUUAAAGAAAUCAAGUUACUUUUCCCCAUAAAAGAAAUUUAAGGACUGCUAUUAAUAUAGCUUUCUCUAAUGUUGUACUUAGCAGUUAUGGCUCUUUUAUUUUAAGUGGAAAACUGAGAAGGAAACUUUAUAGGUACUUUUAGGUUUUUCUGUGAUAUUUGAAUAUUUAUCAAAUAAUUGAGCCAAAGUAGUGAAAGAAAAUGACUAGGCUUCUGAGUGGAAGUGAAGGAUCUAAGUUAUAUAAUGACAGAAAGGAAUAUAUUUUAUGAACAUCAGACCUUAGCUGCAAUUGUUAUGUGAAUCCUAAAUAAUAAAAUCAGGUGUACAUUUGUUUACUCAAGGUAUAUCUAAGUAUUGAUACAUACUGAUACUUGUUAAAGAUACAGGUUCUGCAUGUGUUACAAUUUCACCUUAUCCCCAGUUUCUUCUGUAUUUUGAGGAUGAUAAUAGGUACCUGCUUCAUAAUGUAUCUGUAAAACUUAAACUGGUAAAACACUUUGAACAUAAUAAAAGCUCCGAAAAUGUUA
This is a long non-coding RNA of Dama dama (fallow deer), 5126 nucleotides long. RefSeq lists it as uncharacterized. The record is from RefSeq and is a predicted model, not a curated record. The transcript has 2 exons. NCBI's taxonomy places the organism in Eukaryota, Metazoa, Chordata, Mammalia, Artiodactyla, Cervidae.